Molecule: long non-coding RNA, 818 nt
Filed under: Mus caroli (Ryukyu mouse)
Lineage: Eukaryota; Metazoa; Chordata; Mammalia; Rodentia; Muridae
Description: predicted gene 13583 (MGP_CAROLIEiJ_G0003184.1)
Source: RNAcentral
CAGAGACUCGGUCCUGAGUUGCUCCUUGCAGACACUGAUUCUUUUCCUUGGGUUUCCUUCUAUGCUCACGUUGGGGCCUUACUGUAUGUGGGUUGAUGCUCAAACCUAUGCUGCAUUUAUCAGUUUGUACACGUGUCUGGGGCUGUGUAACUUAUUUGUCAGUGGUUCAUGAAUGUUAUAGAGCCAUUGUUCAGCCUAGAGAAACGGAGGACCAGAGGUACAAAUCCCAUCGCUGUCCACCCCACUGAGCCCCACCUCCCCAAGGGGCGUAGCAGACAGGCCUGUUUGGGGGUUAUCUGUAGAAUGUAGAUUCAACUUCUCCCUUUGGAAGGUCCCGCAAGCCUGGAAGGCAAUACCCUGCCCCUUAUCUCGCCCUAAUUUGGAGGACAAGAGGAUGUGCGGAAGAGACUGUCCCAUCUGCCCCGGGACAGUACACAAGCAACCACAAUACAAACUAGGCCUUGCUCUUAUUUGUCUUGCUCAACUCCUACCCGUUUUCCGCCCUGAAUCCCGGGUGCCAAUCUGCCCCCACUUCGGCGCUGCGGACACUCACCACGCCACUCGAGGGACGGUUCCUGGAUGUGAGUCACAUCUUGGGCGCUGCCCUGGUGAACCCCCAGCAGCAGCAGCUGCUGCAGCCAGAGCAGCUGCAGCAUCGCUAACCAUUGCACCAUCAGGCACGCUAGGUGACACCCACGGGAAUCAGAACCGUGUCCCCUGCUCUGGACUAGGCUGCAGGAGGCAAGAGAAGCUACCACUCUUCUCGAGGACCACGCCACCCCGGAGCCCUAGAGAUGAACUCGCCUCCCUUGUCGCCA